RNAcentral lists this ribosomal RNA (548 nucleotides) under uncultured Comamonadaceae bacterium. RNAcentral's name for it is "bacterial SSU rRNA". It matches the Rfam family "Bacterial small subunit ribosomal RNA", at positions 90 to 632 of the family's 1533-position model. The record is from RNAcentral. Lineage: Bacteria; Pseudomonadati; Pseudomonadota; Betaproteobacteria; Burkholderiales; Comamonadaceae.
GGCGAGUGGCGAACGGGUGAGUAAUAUAUCGGAACGUGCCCAGUCGUGGGGGAUAACGUAGCGAAAGCUACGCUAAUACCGCAUACGAUCUACGGAUGAAAGCGGGGGACUCGCAAGAGCCUCGCGCGAUUGGAGCGGCCGAUAUCAGAUUAGGUUGUUGGUGAGGUAAAAGCUCACCAAGCCUGCGAUCUGUAGCUGGUCUGAGAGGACGACCAGCCACACUGGAACUGAGACACGGUCCAGACUCCUACGGGAGGCAGCAGUGGGGAAUUUUGGACAAUGGACGCAAGUCUGAUCCAGCAAUGCCGCGUGCAGGACGAAGGCCUUCGGGUUGUAAACUGCUUUUGUACGGAACGAAACGGCCUGCUUUAAUACAGUGGGCUAAUGACGGUACCGUAAGAAUAAGCACCGGCUAACUACGUGCCAGCAGCCGCGGUAAUACGUAGGGUGCGAGCGUUAAUCGGAAUUACUGGGCGUAAAGCGUGCGCAGGCGGUUAUAUAAGACAGAUGUGAAAUCCCCGGGCUCAACCUGGGACCUGCAUUUGUGA